AGACCAUUUUAUAAUGUAUACCAGCCUACUGUACUAUUUAAAAAGCUCCAUUUCAGCACCAAUGGCAAUGUAAAUAAGAUGAUUUAAUGUUGAUUUUAAUCCUGUAUAUAAAAUAAAAAGUCACUGAGUUCAAGCAUAUUUAAUGAUGAUUACGGAGCCUUAGAGGUCUUUAAUCAUUGGUUCGGCUGCUUUUUGUAGUUUGUUUAGGCUGGAAAUGGUUUUCCCUGCUCUUUGUCAGCAAGACUGAAGACAGCUUUUGCUGGACAAUUAACAAACACAAAAUUUUGUAGGUCACUGUCCCAUCUCCACCACAGGUACAGUUGGCUUCCAUGUGAUGCUGAAGCCUGGCUAAUGGGAUCCCAACGAAACUAGAGACUGCAACAUGGAACUGGGGUUCUGGAGGGAGGGGGUUUGUUAAAACAACACACAUUCAAAGAAAGAAAUUUUGUAUAUAUAACCAUUUUAAUCUUUUAUAAAGUUUUGAAUGUUCAUGUAUGAAUGCUGCAGCUGUGAAGCAUACA
RNAcentral lists this long non-coding RNA (521 nucleotides) under Bos taurus (domestic cattle). RNAcentral's name for it is "long non-coding RNA NONBTAT023682". The record is from RNAcentral. Lineage: Eukaryota; Metazoa; Chordata; Mammalia; Artiodactyla; Bovidae.